CUGAACGGGUUAUGGCUCAUCUUCACCCACCACUGGUGUCAGCUAUUCCAAAUUACACAAGACGCCUUAACAAUGUGAACGUGCCCAUCUCUGUCCAUUGGGAAUAAUCUACUCGAAACAGCUUCGCUGUGUCAGCGCACAUUUCAGUGACUCACACUGUCCGGGAAGCAGUUUUUGAAAUGACAACGCUUCAAAAGGAAGUAGCUCACCAAUAUCCUUUGAUAACAUCUUCCAAUCCUACAGCUGCUACCACCCGGAAGGACAAAGGCAAUAGAUGCAUGGAAACACGAUCACCUGCAACUUCCCUUCCAAGUCACACACCUUCCUGACUGGUCAAUGUCCUGGAACACUGUUCCUGACAAUACCGUGUCUGCCUCCAUCACAUGGAGUCUGGUUCAAGAACACAGCUCAACUCCACCUUCUCCAAGAUAAUUCAGGACGGGCAAUAAGCCACUGAGUCCACGUCCCAUGAAGUUCAGAUGCUUCUCAAUUGCCCUCAGGAUAAAAGGCAAAACAGAAGUGGAAAGAUCUCAUGCUGCUGCAUCCUAGACUUCAUCUUCUCCAUCUCCAGCUUCCACUUUCCCCUCAACGACAAGUUGUUGUAGAUCAGCUGUAGAGAAGUCUUCACAGUGGGACUCCAGCAGUUAUUCAACGCCCUCACUCUCCUCUUCUUCAAAUCCAGCUUGCUUUGCAAGAUCAACACAAUGUUUUUUGAUUCUUGGGAGCUCCUCUGACAUAUCAAAGCUUUUUAAAUCUUGAAAAAAUUCUGGGAGAAGCUUCCAUCAAACUUCAUGCAAGUAAUCCUUACUAACAUCAUCCCAGGGCUCCACGAUAAUGUCUAUUGCAUUCAUGAUGUUAAAUCUCUUUCAAAAUUGAAGAAUGUUGUCCUUAUUCUCCUCAGUGGCUGCAAUCAUCCUCUUUAAUGUAAGCCUUAAAUAAUAAGCUUUAACAGCUGCUAUUGCACCCUGGCCCAUGGGUUGAAGGAGACAGUUUGUGUUCUGGAGUAGAAAUAGUACUUUGAUGUUUUCAGAAAGCUCACCAAUGGUGGAAGGAUGGCUUGGUGCAUUAUCCAGGA
Molecule: long non-coding RNA, 1075 nt
Organism: Stegostoma tigrinum
Lineage: Eukaryota; Metazoa; Chordata; Chondrichthyes; Orectolobiformes; Stegostomatidae
Exons: 3
Source: RefSeq, a predicted model, not a curated record